Non-coding RNA from Triticum aestivum (bread wheat), 115 nucleotides. NCBI's taxonomy places the organism in Eukaryota, Viridiplantae, Streptophyta, Magnoliopsida, Poales, Poaceae. The record is from Rfam.
CUUGUACUCCCUCCAUCCGAAAAUACUUGUCAUUGAAAUGGAUGUAUCUAGAUGUAUUUUAGUUCUAGACACAUCCAUUUUGAUGACAAGUAAUUCCGGACGGAGGGAGUACUUG